This 77-nucleotide transfer RNA is filed under the name Chloroflexaceae bacterium. RNAcentral's name for it is "tRNA-Arg". It matches the Rfam family "tRNA". Rfam says of the family: Transfer RNA (tRNA) molecules are approximately 80 nucleotides in length. The record is from RNAcentral. Lineage: Bacteria; Bacillati; Chloroflexota; Chloroflexia; Chloroflexales; Chloroflexaceae.
GAUCCCGUAGCUCAAUUGGAUAGAGCGUCAGCCUCCGGAGCUGAAGGUUACUGGUUCGAACCCAGUCGGGGUCGCCA